This 541-nucleotide ribosomal RNA is filed under the name uncultured bacterium. RNAcentral describes it as "partial 16S ribosomal RNA". It matches the Rfam family "Bacterial small subunit ribosomal RNA", at positions 354 to 911 of the family's 1533-position model. The record is from RNAcentral.
GUGGGGAAUAUUGCACAAUGGGCGAAAGCCUGAUGCAGCAACGCCGCGUGAGUGAUGAAGGUCUUCGGAUUGUAAAGCUCUGUCUUUUGGGACGAUAAUGACGGUACCAAAGGAGGAAGCCACGGCUAACUACGUGCCAGCAGCCGCGGUAAUACGUAGGUGGCGAGCGUUGUCCGGAUUUACUGGCGUAAAGGGUGCGUAGGCGGAUGUUUAAGUGAGAUGCGAAAUACCCGGGCUUAACUUGGGUGCUGCAUUUCAAACUGGAUAUCUAGAGUGCAGGAGAGGAGAAUGGAAUUCCUAGUGUAGCGGUGAAAUGCGUAGAGAUUAGGAAGAACACCAGUGGCGAAGGCGAUUCUCUGGACUGUAACUGACGCUGAGGCACGAAAGCGUGGGUAGCAAACAGGAUUAGAUACCCUGGUAGUCCACGCCGUAAACGAUGAGUACUAGGUGUAGGAGGUAUCGACCCUUCUGUGCCGCAGUAAACACAUUAAGUACUCCGCCUGGGAAGUACGAUCGCAAGAUUAAAACUCUAAAGUGAAUU